GGGAGUGUCAAGGUUUCGACAGGAAUACGGGAACUAUAAGUAGCAAGUCAGGGUGAUUCCUGUGAAAAAUCAACACAUGUUUUUACAUGGAAACGAAAAUUACGCUUUAGCUGCCUAAUUUACGCAGCUUGCUCUAUUUUCUCUAUGCCGAUACGAGAUUAUAGAGUAUCAAAUGAUUUCGGCUUACUAAAUAUAAUUCGCUUAGUUAUAUUUAGGACAAUUUUAUAAGCUCGUAUGUUAAUAUCCUUGUCUACAGGAAGUUAACAUAUUAAAUUUAAAUGUAGACUAAGCUUGUAGAAGCUUAUAGCGUCUCUAUUCUUGGACACGGGUUCGAUUCCCGUCACUUCCACCA
RNAcentral lists this transfer-messenger RNA (352 nucleotides) under Hypnocyclicus thermotrophus. RNAcentral's name for it is "Standard tmRNA". It matches the Rfam family "transfer-messenger RNA". Rfam says of the family: Bacterial tmRNA, also known as 10Sa RNA or SsrA, is named for its dual tRNA and mRNA-like properties. The record is from Rfam by way of RNAcentral. Lineage: Bacteria; Fusobacteriati; Fusobacteriota; Fusobacteriia; Fusobacteriales; Fusobacteriaceae.